RNAcentral lists this long non-coding RNA (1739 nucleotides) under Anas platyrhynchos platyrhynchos (common mallard). RNAcentral's name for it is "lncRNA (ENSAPLG00000027045.1)". Lineage: Eukaryota; Metazoa; Chordata; Aves; Anseriformes; Anatidae. The record is from RNAcentral.
UAAUUUCCUGCUUAACCUUUUCAUUUUUUUCCAUACUUUUUAUGCUUGUAGAGAAUUCUUUGCACUCAUAAACUGUUAUUCCAAUCUUUUGAAUUCAGUCUCAAAGAUUUGGUGUGCCAAAAGCCAAUUUAAGCAGAAAUUUGGGACUGUUCAGAAGAGAACUUGUCAUCCUGAACAGAACUUUUGAUCAUGAGAGACCUCUAGUUACGACCAUUUAAUCCAUGCAUUUGUAGAAGUGUUACCAUUCAUACACAGUUUCAUUUACUUUUCAUUCUAAACUGGUGUCAUACCAUGUUUAUUCAAUGGACAGGGCAACUUUUUCUUAUAGACCGUUACUUAAAAAGGAAUUGAGAAAGAAGAUACCUGUUUUGCUGCAGAAAUGGUCCACACACCAAAAUCAUUCACAAUUUUAAGUGUGCAUAGUAAAAAACAAAGCAUGAAACUCAGCUCUUGAUUCCUACUGGCAGUUUGCAGUGACUUGUGAAAAGUGGAUGACCUAAAUAGGACGCAACUGCAAGAAGCUGAGGCAAGAGGCCCACAACCUCUGCUCAACCUCGGUCAAAACAGUCAGAGUGUCAAGGGCUCCCAGACAGGCAGUUUGCUCUCCACUUGUCUUCAGGGAACAGAAAGUCCUGCAUUACAGAUGUCCAUCCAUUCAAGGUGUUCUGCCAUAGCUGUGGCAGCAUCUUGUCUGCAACUUCUCCCCUGCAGUCCGUAGUAGUGAUAAUGCCCAAAUGUGAUGUUGCAAGGGGAGCUAGACAGCCUCUGUGUCCUUUGUAAUGUUGCAGCUACUGAGUUGGUUACUUAGGAAAGUUUGCGCGUGGAUUGAGGCCUUACACAAACAAUGGUGGUAUGAGGGGAAUGGUGGUGUAUUAAGUUCAUUUACUUGAGUUAAAGAGAAAAUGCAGAUGAUUUCUGAAGAUCCUCAUGGGGUGCCUGCAGGUGGGGAAGGAAAGGUUUGUGGGACAGCUUCAGCAAGCCUUGGAGUAAAGGUGUAAGGCAGAUACUUGGCCCUGUAGGUGGAAAGGUGUAGUGGGUGCAUUGCUGGACUAAAGUCAGUUUUGAAAACCUCCUAAAAUGAAGGUUUGAGGAGUCUCAGCACAGAUGCUUUGGGCUGUGCCAAAUUACUUCUUACUGUGGAAGUAAUCCUUGUUGCCUAAACCAUUUUUAUAUGCCCAAUGUGAACACACCGAGUUUAGGCUGGAUGAGGGAUGAGUAAAUCUGGUCAUCCAGAGAAGUUAAAAAUAGAUACAAGCGCUUUAUAUGUAGAUGUAUGUGCAUACAUAACAAAUAACACAAUGCAUUUUUAAUGGGGAAUAGCACUGUAUUUUUUCACACUGGGUUCCCAGGUAGGUACCUACUUUCAGGCUAUGUGUCUUUCAAAGGGAAAAAUAAGUGUAAUAACAAAUUUAGUUCAUUAUUGCAUCUUCCAUAGGUAUUUUUGUUCCAUGCAUUUAAAACAAAGAUGAUGAAACUCCUUUGGAAACCUCAAAAGGACCAACACCAUUACAGAAAAAAUAUAAAUUCUACAUACAUGAAUAUAAAUGUGAAGUGUUGCAACACCUCGUUUCCACAGAGCUAACACAAGCAAAUAUUGAAUGAAAGGCUGAGCCAAUUAAAAGUGCAAAGUCUGUACACCAUGCAGGUGAAGAGCUGCAAAUCAGAAAGGAAAAAUAAGAGAUGUCAAACCAAUAUUUAUAUAUGUGAAUAAAUAAUACACAAGUGUAAAUAAGUAAGCA